RNAcentral lists this unclassified non-coding RNA (3651 nucleotides) under Hevea brasiliensis (rubber tree). Lineage: Eukaryota; Viridiplantae; Streptophyta; Magnoliopsida; Malpighiales; Euphorbiaceae. The record is from RNAcentral.
AAAGAACUUAAAUAACAAUCUCAAAAAGUUCUGCAAACAUAAUACACAACAGAGCACAGUCAGAACCAUGGCAAUGAAUUGAAAAUACCAGAAUCUCCCGGAAUCUAGAUCCAAACCUAAUUCACUAAACAAUGUCAAAUACAUCUAGAUUAGAUUAUACAAAAAGGUUGACCCUCCUCAACCAAGGAUGGUCCUCAACAUAAAGCUCCCUCGGAUUUAUUUCCGUAUUCACUUAGUAGCCAUACCCUGAGUUGUCCAUCGGGUUAACAGCAGGGGCAGGCUCGGGCUCCUUGAUAUCUACCACCACCACAUCUGAUGUGAGAAAUGUUCUUGCAACAGAUGCAGCAUGCUCCAAGCAGCAUCUCACCACCUUAGUGGGGUCAAUUAUUCCAGCAGCCAUUAAAUCCUCAUAAUUUCCAGUAGCAGCAUUGUAGCCAUACUUGGGAUUCUCAUUAGAAAGCACCUUGUCACUAACAACACUUCCAUUAACUCCAGCAUUCUUGGCAAUCAACUUCAGUGGGUAACUAAGAGCCCUCUUUACUAUAUCAGCACCCACCUUUUGUUCAUCGUUGUCGAGGGUUUCCUUAAUGGCAUCAACCUUGGAUGAAAGCCUCAAAAGAGUACAACCACCGCCAACAACAAUACCUUCCUCCACGGCAGCCUUUGUAGCAUUAAGAGCAUCCUCUACUCUCAAUUUCUUCUCUUUUAACUCAGUCUCUGUCUGUGCUCCAACCUGAAUCACAGCAACACCACCAGAGAGCUUUGACAGCCUUUCUUGUGCCUUCUCCUUGUCAAACAUUGCAGUACUCUUUUCCAUUGCUGUCCUCAGCUGCUCACAUCUUUCUUCAAUCAGCUUCUUAUCUCCACCACCAUGAAGAAUUAUUGUGUCAUCAAGAGAGACAGUAACCUUCUUAGCAGUACCAAGCAUUUCUAUUUGGACUUUAUCAAGAGUUAAACCAUGAUCCUCACUGAUAACCUCUCCACCAGUAAGAAUGGCAAGAUCAUCUAAAUUUGCUCGUCUGUUUUCCCCAAAACCAGGAGCUUUAAUGGCACAGACCUUAACUCCUGCAUGAUGCUUGUUGAGAAUAAGCAUAGCUAGAGAAUCACUGUCCACAUCCUCAGCCACAACUAGAAGUGGUUUGUUUUUUUUUACUGCCAGCUCUAAUAUUCUCACAAGUGAAUUCACGUCUGAAAUUUUCUUCUCAUAAAUGAGGAUCAAAGGAUUUUCAAGCUCCUGUAAACGUGCAAAGCAUAACUUUUUCUUUGAAAUAGUAAACUAAAUAAAAACAGAAUCCUAAAUCAAAAUGAAAGUGAAAGACAAGCACAAGAUACUAUUGGCAAACACAACACAUGCAAAGAAAAUGAGGGAGAAGGGGCAACAGAGAGGAGUUAUCAAGGAGAUAGACCAUGCCAAUCUCCAUGCAAUUCUACAAGUGACUGCAAUGCAUUACACAUGAAAACUCCAAAAGCCAGCAAAUUUUGGAACAUGAUAUAAUAGCAUAUCCCCCCAGACCAACCACCAUAAUAUCCCAAUAAGAUGAUAAUGGUCAUCCCUUAGUCUCUUCCUAAAACUAUCCCCAUUGCUUUUAUCCACCUGACAUAUUGUUUGGCUAUUGACAAUAGCACAAGCAACCCCAAACACUCCAUGGAACAAAAACAUGUGGAUAAUUUAAAAAUGAAAAAAAAAAUAGCAACUGCUUAUGGUGAAAUUUUCAUUUUAGCCCAAUAUACUGAAUAAUCUGUUGCAUGAAGACUGAAGUAGAUAUUGACAGUAGAAACCACACAGAUCUGAGCUUACACAUUUCUGGGUCUUCUGAUCAGUAAUAAAAUAAGGUGAAAUAUAACCUCUGGCAAGCUUCAUUCCUUCCACUACUUCCAACUCAUUUUCCAAAGUAUUCCCAUCAGCGACAGUAAUGACUCCUUCCUUUCCAACUUUCUCCAUUGCUCUAGCUAUCAAUUCUCCAAUCUCACACUCUCCAUUUGCAGAGAUGGUGGCAACCUAUUGACAGUACAUGCACUUGCCAAUAGUGAAGGAAAAGAUCCAACAAGCAUAACAAACUAUGUACACUACAUACCAACAGGUUUUAGAAACAGAAAUUAUCAUUUUACUUAUCAAGAGAAUAAUAACAAAAUUGAGGUGGAAACGGCUCAGGAUUUCCAGUAGGAAGCUUUGCUUAAUGCUUUGAACAAAAACAUAUGUUCAGAGCCAAAAAGAAUCCUUUCCAACAGUUAAGAAAACUAAAGAGCUUUCUUUUCAAGAUUGUCAACAAUACCCUAGUUGCAAAUCAAGCUCAUACGAUUAUAUCUUAGAUCAAAAUUCCCCAUGAAAGAUAAUAUAUGAAAAAUAUAGUUUCUUUAAGAAGCUGAAAUACCUGUGCAAUUUCUUCUGGUGUGCUUAUCAUUAGUGCUCUCUUUUUCAAGUCAGAGACAACAGAGUUCACUGCCAUAUUAAUUCCAGUGCGCAAAUCCAUAACAUUUACACCAGCAGCUAUAGACUUGCAGCCUUCUGUGAGUAUGGCUUGUGUCAGGACAGUUGCACAACUAGUACCAUCUCCUACAGCAGUGUUUGUUGCAUUAGCCACCUGCUUCACAAGGUCUGCACCAACAUUCUUGGCCUUUUCAUUGAAUUCGAUGCUUUUGGCAACAGUGACACCAUCCUUCGUCACCUUUGGGACUCCAUGACUUUUCUCGAUAAUAACAUUACGGCCCUAAAUAACUUGACGAGUUAAGAAAAUUACAAAGAAUUAAAAAUGUUUAUGGUGCUUGCAUUAUUGUUCUGAGGAGUCUAUACCAUGCAUGCCACAUCAAAAAUAAUUACAUAAAAUGGAAAUAGUUAUGAUAGAUGAGUCAACAAGGGAUCUACAAAAGAGAAAGCUUUAUAGUCUUUUCAUUAAGAAGCAUGGUAGACCUUCAGUUCCAGAACAAUGGACAGCCUCUCCUACUGCAUUAAACCUCUAGUCCCUGUCCAAGGAGGGCUUGAAUUUGGGAGCUUCAAGCUAGAACUCUUAAGUUCAAAUCACUAAGGUGUCCCCCUGUGGUCCCAUUGUGACUUUUACAGCUUCAGCUACCUCGUUGACACCCUGCAACAUAGCUGCACGAGCCCCAACCCCAAAAUUGAUAUCCUUUGCCACAUAACUUCUAUUGGAUAUAAUAAUACCACACACCUAGCCAGCACAAAAAAUUAACCACGAAAAGAAAAAUGUCAAGAUUAAUGAACAAGCUUGGAAAUCUCCCAACCCAAUUAAUUAAACGUUGAUCCUAUAACUGGACUUAGUUAAAGCCAGUUCAAUUUUACAUCAAAAACAUCAAACUAAAUAAAAACGAAAUAAAAUUACAGUCAUUUGCAGCUUAUAUGAAACAAAAGAAACAACCCAUGAAGAAAAAUGCAAUAAAUGAGCUAAAGAUGAGAGAGAUUCAUUGUUACUCGUUUCUUUGAAACAGAAGAGCUGUUAAUAAAAUAAAAUAAAAAAAAAGUACACACAAACAAAACAGAGAAAGAUGCGUUAGCCACUAUCGACAAAUUCAUGGGUGCGUGCGUGAGAGAGGUGUGAAUGGGGAAAGUAUAGAAGCGAGAGGAAAGAAGGAGUACCUAAUCGAUGAAGCUAAUCUUGAAACUAUUCUAUACAUAAUUGACGAUUACAGACAACGCAG